AGUGAACGCUGGCGGCAGGCCUAACACAUGCAAGUCGAGCGGCAGCGCGGGGCAACCCUGGCGGCGAGCGGCGGACGGGUGAGGAAUGCAUCGGAAUCUACCUCGUUGUGGGGGGAUAACCUCGGGAAACCGGGACUAAUACCGCAUACGACCUACGGGUGAAAGUGGGGGACCUUCGGGCCUCACGCGAUGAGAUGAGCCGAUGCCGGAUUAGCUAGUUGGCGGGGUAAGGCCCACCAAGGCGACGAUCCGUAGCUGGUCUGAGAGGAUGAUCAGCCACACUGGAACUGAGACACGGUCCAGACUCCUACGGGAGGCAGCAGUGGGAAUAUUGGACAUGGGCGCGAAGCCUGAUCCAGCCAUGCCGCGUGUGU
RNAcentral lists this ribosomal RNA (374 nucleotides) under uncultured bacterium. RNAcentral's name for it is "bacterial SSU rRNA". It matches the Rfam family "Bacterial small subunit ribosomal RNA", at positions 30 to 406 of the family's 1533-position model. The record is from RNAcentral.